CCGACGCCCUCCUCUUCUCCAAGCCUCCAGUCUCCAACGCUGCCCACUCGGUGUCGCCGUUUGCCCAGUCCGCCGUUGCCGUCUCCUACUCCUCCACUCCCAGACGGCGAAGCUCCAGUCGGCUCUCCAGGAAGGUCGCCAUCGCCGUCUCUCACUCUAGGGCUCCAGGUCGCCGUUUCGCCCUCUCGCGGUCACCGUCUCUCACGUCAUUACAGGUCGCCGCCUCUAGCCGUUGCCUCUGCUCGAAGUCCAAUCCACGUCGCCGUCGCCGUCUCCCAGUCCGACACUCCAAGACUCCAGGUCGCCGUCGCCGUCUCUCACUCCAGGACUCCAGUUGCAUCGAGAAGUGCGGUAUUGGAGGCAUCUUAGAACUUCCUCCCAGGAUCAGUAGUCUCUUCCAUUCUCUUUAUUUAUUUAUUCUGUUUGUUCUGGUGAGAGAAAAUUCAUAAAUUGUUGAAUUCAUUAUUUGCAGCCCAAAGUUAGCUGCCUGCAGCGGAUCUAUCUUGCCCUUGUCCCAAAUUGGCUCUUGGUAUUGGAGCUGUUUGCCAUCUUCUUGCAUCAACAUUAGCCUGUUGGUCUGUUUAUGGGUGGACUCCUGGCCUUUUCCAUUUCCUCCUUGACAGUCUUAAUGCAACUUCAGUUGUAGCACUUGGUCCAAAGGAAUCAGUGUGUUGGAACUUAUCUAAUUUUGGCAUGGUGUAUGUAUGGGAUCUUACAAUUCUUACUAUUCUAUGCACAUUUUGUUAUUAUCUAAGCUGUGUAUAAUGCAUAACUAGUCUCUUUGUUUUGUUAUUAGGCAUCCGUUAACUUGGGACCAAAUUUGUAAUUUUGAUAUAGUCAAGGGACCAUUUUGAUUUUCA
Long non-coding RNA from Ipomoea triloba (trilobed morning glory), 860 nucleotides. RefSeq lists it as uncharacterized. The record is from RefSeq and is a predicted model, not a curated record. The transcript is spliced from 2 exons. Lineage: Eukaryota; Viridiplantae; Streptophyta; Magnoliopsida; Solanales; Convolvulaceae.